GGGCACCNCCAGGAGUGGAGCCUGCGGCUUAAUUUGACUCAACACGGGGAAACUCACCCGGUCCGGACACUGGAAGGAUUGACAGAUUAAAAGCUCUUUCUUGAUUCAGUGGGUGGUGGUGCAUGGCCGUUCUUAGUUGGUGGAGUGAUUUGUCUGGUUAAUUCCGAUAACGAACGAGACUCUAGCCUGCUAACUAGUUCGCCGGCAGCUCUUGUCGCGCGGCGCCGCUUCGGCGGCAAACUUCUUAGAGGGACAGGUGGCGUUUAGCCACACGAAGUAGAGCAAUAACAGGUCUGUGAUGCCCUUAGAUGUCCGGGGCCGCACGCGCGCUACACUGAAAGAAUCAACGUGGAUGCCCACCUGCUCCGAGAGGAGUGGGAAACCCGAUGAAUCUCUUUCGUGAUGGGGAUUGGGGCUUGUAAUUGUUCCCCAUGAACGAGGAAUUCCCAGUAAGCGUCAGUCAUCAGCUGGCGCUGAUUACGUCCCUGCCCUUUGUACACACCGCCCGUCGCUACUACCGAUUGAAUGGUUUAGUGAGACCCUCGGACUGGAGUCCGUCCGCCGCUUUCGGGUGGUGGAUGGGGACGGAAAGACGGUCGAACUUGAUCAUUUAGAGGAAGUAA
This 623-nucleotide ribosomal RNA is filed under the name Lepetodrilus fucensis. RNAcentral's name for it is "SSU rRNA". It matches the Rfam family "Eukaryotic small subunit ribosomal RNA", at positions 1162 to 1785 of the family's 1831-position model. The record is from RNAcentral. Lineage: Eukaryota; Metazoa; Mollusca; Gastropoda; Lepetellida; Lepetodrilidae.